Molecule: non-coding RNA, 74 nt
Organism: Mycena floridula
Lineage: Eukaryota; Fungi; Basidiomycota; Agaricomycetes; Agaricales; Mycenaceae
Source: the annotation of a GenBank genome assembly
AUCAUGAUGAUGCAGUGGUAGCAUGUUUGACAUUGAGUUUACGGAUGGCUCAGGUUCGAUUCCAGGUCGUCACC